Molecule: unclassified non-coding RNA, 196 nt
Filed under: uncultured fungus
Lineage: Eukaryota; Fungi
Description: sequence contains ITS1
Source: RNAcentral
CAGAGUUAGGGUUGCCCUCGCGGUGCCCGACCUCCCAACCCUUUGCCUUGAAAAAUAGCAGUCGAACGCGCCGUCAAAACGCGCGCUCGUCCGCCAUGUAUAUACGUUGCUUCGGCGGCUCACACCGCCGGAGGAACCGUAAACCAAAACUCUUGUUUUAACCAUGUAACCGUCUGAGAAAAACUUUAAUAAGUCA